ACGUGAAAUAAAUAUAGUUUCCCUGAUAUCUCUUUCUUUCUCUUUAUUUAAACCUUAUUUUUGAUAUGCUUUAUGUUCUGUCAUCCACUUGUCUAGUUUAGUUAGUGCCUACUGUGUAGAUGUUUAUUUGUUUUACAUUAAUCUGUACCUUUUUUUGUUCAAAUAUGGCUUAACACUGUGCAAACACUUCUACAUGUCACUCCUCUUUUUGGGUUCAU
Molecule: long non-coding RNA, 218 nt
Filed under: Nicotiana benthamiana
Lineage: Eukaryota; Viridiplantae; Streptophyta; Magnoliopsida; Solanales; Solanaceae
Description: long non-coding RNA (NBEN_LNC000560)
Source: RNAcentral